Molecule: ribosomal RNA, 253 nt
Filed under: uncultured bacterium
Lineage: Bacteria
Description: partial 16S ribosomal RNA
Rfam family: Bacterial small subunit ribosomal RNA
Source: RNAcentral
UACGUAGGGUGCGAGCGUUAAUCGGAAUUACUGGGCGUAAAGCGUGCGCAGGCGGUUGUGUAAGUCAGAUGUGAAAUCCCCGGGCUCAACCUGGGAACUGCAUUUGAGACUGCACGGCUAGAGUGUGGCAGAGGGGGGUAGAAUUCCACGUGUAGCAGUGAAAUGCGUAGAGAUGUGGAGGAAUACCGAUGGCGAAGGCAGCCCCCUGGGUUACUACUGACGCUCAUGCACGAAAGCGUGGGGAGCAAACAGG